This 383-nucleotide ribosomal RNA is filed under the name uncultured eukaryote. Its description in RNAcentral is "partial 18S ribosomal RNA". It matches the Rfam family "Eukaryotic small subunit ribosomal RNA", at positions 592 to 976 of the family's 1831-position model. The record is from RNAcentral.
CAAUAGCGUAUAUUAAAGUUGUUGCAGUUAAAAAGCUCGUAGUUGGAUUUCUGGUGGGAGCGAUCGGUCUGGCGCUUAGCGCGAGUACUUGCAUCGUCUCCGGCCAUCCUUGGGGAGAGUCUGUCUGGCAUUAAGUUGUCGGGCAGAGGAUCCUCAUCGUUUACUGUGAAAGAAUUAGAGUGUUCAAAGCAGGCUUAUGCCGUUGAAUAUAUUAGCAUGGAAUAAUAAGAUAGGACUUUGGUACUAUUUUGUUGGUUUGUGCACCAAAGUAAUGAUUAAUAGGGACAGUUGGGGGUAUUCGUAUUCCGUUGUCAGAGGCGAAAUUCUUGGAUUUACGGAAGACGAACUACUGCGAAAGCAUUUACCAAGGAUGUUUUCAUUAA